GCGGAACUUCCGGGUUUAUGCAAGUUGUCAACAGUUUGCUAAAGAUAAAUAAACAUGUAGAUAGUGUGAGAGCAGAACGCUACACUUCUUUUUCCUGUAGAGAGAGACGGGUGGAGGGAGAGUAAAGACGGACAGACACCGCGGAAAGCAGAAGUAGCUAGUUAAAACUAGAAUGUAGUUAGUUACUGUAGUUAGUUAACUCACUUGUCCCAGGCCAGCUAACAGAUAACUCCAGCCUGCUCUCCCUCUCCGCGGCUCCUCUACUGAUGCCUGUCUCUGUCGGGGCUCCAUGGAAGAGCUGCUAGUACAGGGCGGACCGGGACUGCAGCAGACUCUCCUCACCCUUUGCCCCAUGCCCUGAUCCAAGUACGGUCCCUGCUCAUCUCUCCGGUCCAACGGGAUAUUAUAACCGUGGGGUGAGCCUGGAAACGGGAGCUACGGCCGAUAGAGCUAGCGGCGAUUGGGCGAGGAGUAUUUUUCCAACUCUUUCUACAAUUUUUAUAAAAGUCUGAUUUUAUAAAGUUGACAUUUAUUUAUCCCAACAUCCAACUGGUGAAGGUUAUGCAGUGUGUCUGUUCGGCUGUGAUGAGAUGUCGUCAUGUAAGUCAUAGAGGCGACCAUCAAACAAGGUACGUCGUCUUUCGCCUGAAACAAACUCUACCAAGAAGGAAAAACAAUACCAAAGAAAGUUGUGCAUCUGAAGAGCUCUGUGAAGGGGGAGGGAGAGAAGGGAUUGUAUUGAAAUGGACGGAACUUGUUGAUGGGUCAGGCUGUAUAGAGGCUUCGUUGUACGUUAUGACCGGUGACGUCACUGAGCGGAAUUACAUUCAAGCACGUAGCUGAGUGAUUGUUGAACCGAUAACAGUAAUACUUAGGGUUAUAGCUGUCCUCUAUGAAGACCUUAACAACGGUCCUACUGUAGGUAUGAUACACAGACUGUAGAGUUAACUGUUCUAGUUAUCAUACACAUACUGGAGAGUUAACUGGUCUAGGUAUGAUACACAUACUGUAGAGUUACCAACUGGUCUAGUUAUGAUAUAGACUGUAGAGUUACCAACUGGUCUAGUUAUGAUAUAGACUGUAGAGUUACCAACUGGUCUAGUUAUGAUAUAGACUGUAGAGUUACCAACUGGUCUAGUUAUGAUAUAGACUGUAGAGUUACCAACUGGUCUAGUUUGAUACACAGACUGUAGAGUUACCAACUGGUCUAGUUUGAUACACAGACUGUAGAGUUACCAACUGGUCUAGUUAUUAUAUAGACUGUAGAGUUACCAACUGGUCUAGUUAUGAUAUAGACUGUAGCUCGAGCUUCCUGUUCUGGGUGAGUAAUGGAGUGAGGUGCGCAAAUAUCACUCAAUAUUAUCACCCUUUUUUUUGCUUAAAAUGCUAUAAAAUUACAACUGGCCUAAUAUUUAAAUGUUAAAAUGACCACUGGCCUAAUAUUAACACCGGCCUAAUAUUUAAAUAGUAACACUGGCCUAAUAUUUAAAUGUUAACAUUGGCCUAAUAUUUAAAUAUUAAUAUUAACACUGGCCUAAUAUUUAAAUAUUAAUAUUAACACUGGCCUAAUAUUUAAAUGUUAAAAUGACCACUGGCCUAAUAUUAAUAUUAACACCGGCCUAAUAUUUAAAUAUUAACACUGGCCUAAUAUUUAAAUGUUAACAUUGGCCUAAUAUUUAAAUAUUAACACUGGCCUAAUAUUUAAAUAUUAAUAUUAACACUGGCCUAAUAUUUGUAUAUCAGAGAAGUAAAAGAUCGGACCCAUGUUGCUAGUAGCUGUUUCUCAACGUAAAGCGGAGCAACAACCAGCACCAAACACAGUCAACACCAGGUACAAGGCUGAUGUAUCUACAAUGUUCCAGCAGUAGUGGCUAUCAUGAAAGUGCUAAAUAAGUACAUUCAAUGAACCUUUUGCAGCACUUGAAAUUGAUGUGAAAGCCCAGGGAGUACAGGUUACAGACUUGGAAAUGUCACCAACUGACAUGGGCGAUUGGGUUACUGGGCUGGAGAAGACUCAGGAGUCCCUCACCAACUGACAUGGGUACUGGAGAAGACUCAGGAGUCCCUCACCAACUGACAUGGGUACUGGAGAAGACUCAGGAAUCCCUCACCAACUGACAUGGGUACUGGAGAAGACUCAGGUACUGGAGAAGACUCAGGAGUCCCUCACCAACUGACAUGGGUACUGGAGAAGACUUGGGAAUCCCUCACCAACUGACAUGGGUACUGGAGAAGACUCGGGAAUCCCUCACCAACUGACAUGGGUACUAGAGAAGACUCAGGUACUGGAGAAGACUCGGGAAUCCCUCACCAACUGACAUGGGUACUGGAGAAGACUUAGGUACUGGAGAAGACUCAGGAAUCCCUCACCAACUGACAUGGGUACUGGAGAAGACUCAGGAAUCCCUCACCAACUGACAUGGGUACUGGAGAAGAUACCAAACCAUCAAGAUACCAAACCAUCAAAAUCACAGGCCUGCCCGAGAUAGUGAAACUACCACAGGCUACCACCUUUACUGCUAAUCUGUUGAUGGAGAUCUUGGGGAGGAGUUGCUGUCACAGUCACCUGAGGUUGCCGGUGAGGUUCCAUCAAUACUCAGUGAAGGAUAGUGUCCUCCACUCAGCAACAGAAAAACUCUUGAGUUCCAAGGGUCUGAACUCCGGCUGAUCCCUAGCUACUACAGCGAGGUGACCAAGGACCGGCCAGCUACUAAAGCAAGGUGACCAAGGACCGGCCAGCUACUACAGCGAGGUGACCAAGGACCGGCCAGCUACUACAGCGAGGUGACCAAGGACCGGCCAGCUACUACAGCAAGGUAACCAAGGACCAGCCAGCUACUACAGCAAGGUGACCAAGGACCGGCCAGCUACUACAGCUACUACAGCAAGGUGACCAAGGACCGGCCAGCUACUACAGCAAGGUGACCAAGGACCGGCCAGCUACUACAGCGAGGUGACCAAGGACCGGCCAGCUACUACAGCGAGGUGACCAAGGACCGGCCAGCUACGACAGCGAGGUGACCAAGGACCGGCCAGCUACUACAGCGAGGUGACCAAGGACCGGCCAGCUACUACAGCGAGGUGACCAAGGGCCGGCCAGCUACUACAGCGAGGUGACCAAGGACCGGCCAGCUACUACAGCGAGGUGACCAAGGACCGGCCAGCUACUACAGCGAGGUGACCAAGGACCGGCCAGCUACUACAGCGAGGUAACCAAGGCCCAGCCAGCUACUACAGCGAGGUGACCAAGGACCGGCCAGCUACUACAGCUACUACAGCAAGGUGACCAAGGACCGGCCAGCUACUACAGCGAGGUGACCAAGGACCGGCCAGCUACUACAGCGAGGUGACCAAGGACCGGCCAGCUACUACAGCAAGGUGACCAAGGACCGGCCAGCUACUACAGCUACUACAGCAAGGUAACCAAGGACCGGCCAGCUACUACAGCUACUACAGCAAGGUGACCAAGGACUGGCCAGCUACUACAGCGAGGUGACCAAGGACCGGCCAGCUACUACAGCGAUGCGACCAAGGACCGGCCAGCUACUACAGCGAGGCGACCAAGGACCGGCCAGCUACUACAGCGAGGCGACCAAGGACCGGCCAGCUACUACAGCGAGGCGACCAAGGACCGGCCAGCUGCUACAGCGAGGCGACCAAGACCGGCCAGCUGCUACAGCGAGGCGACCAAGGACCGGCCAGCUGCUACAGCGAGGCGACCAAGGACCG
Oncorhynchus tshawytscha (Chinook salmon) is the source of this 3729-nucleotide long non-coding RNA. The record is from Ensembl. Lineage: Eukaryota; Metazoa; Chordata; Actinopteri; Salmoniformes; Salmonidae.